RNAcentral lists this ribosomal RNA (537 nucleotides) under Bifidobacterium breve. RNAcentral describes it as "bacterial SSU rRNA". It matches the Rfam family "Bacterial small subunit ribosomal RNA", at positions 158 to 704 of the family's 1533-position model. The record is from RNAcentral. Lineage: Bacteria; Bacillati; Actinomycetota; Actinomycetes; Bifidobacteriales; Bifidobacteriaceae.
GGGUGGUAAUGCCGGAUGCUCCAUCACACCGCAUGGUGUGUUGGGAAAGCCUUUGCGGCAUGGGAUGGGGUCGCGUCCUAUCAGCUUGAUGGCGGGGUAACGGCCCACCAUGGCUUCGACGGGUAGCCGGCCUGAGAGGGCGACCGGCCACAUUGGGACUGAGAUACGGCCCAGACUCCUACGGGAGGCAGCAGUGGGGAAUAUUGCACAAUGGGCGCAAGCCUGAUGCAGCGACGCCGCGUGAGGGAUGGAGGCCUUCGGGUUGUAAACCUCUUUUGUUAGGGAGCAAGGCAUUUUUGUGUUGAGUGUACCUUUCGAAUAAGCACCGGCUAACUACGUGCCAGCAGCCGCGGUAAUACGUAGGGUGCAAGCGUUAUCCGGAAUUAUUGGGCGUAAAGGGCUCGUAGGCGGUUCGUCGCGUCCGGUGUGAAAGUCCAUCGCUUAACGGUGGAUCCGCGCCGGGUACGGGCGGGCUUGAGUGCGGUAGGGGAGACUGGAAUUCCCGGUGUAACGGUGGAAUGUGUAGAUAUCGGAAAA